Molecule: ribosomal RNA, 720 nt
Filed under: uncultured bacterium
Lineage: Bacteria
Description: bacterial SSU rRNA
Rfam family: Bacterial small subunit ribosomal RNA
Source: RNAcentral
CUUGAGUGUGCGCAACGUAGGCGGAAUUCGUGGUGUAGCGGUGAAAUGCUUAGAUAUCACGAAGAACUCCAAUUGCGAAGGCAGCUUACGGGAGCACAACUGACGCUGAAGCUCGAAAGUGCGGGUAUCGAACAGGAUUAGAUACCCUGGUAGUCCGCACGGUAAACGAUGGAUGCCCGCUGUUGACCCACCUGGGCCAGCGGCCAAGCGAAAGCAUUAAGCAUCCCACCUGGGGAGUACGCCGGCAACGGUGAAACUCAAAGGAAUUGACGGGGGCCCGCACAAGCGGAGGAACAUGUGGUUUAAUUCGAUGAUACGCGAGGAACCUUACCCGGGCUUGAAUUGCAGAGGAAUUUAUCAGAGAUGGUAGAGCCCUUCGGGGUCUCUGUGAAGGUGCUGCAUGGUUGUCGUCAGCUCGUGCCGUGAGGUGUCGGCUUAAGUGCCAUAACGAGCGCAACCCCUUUCCUUAGUUGCCAUCAGGUCAUGCUGGGCACUCUGGGGAUACUGCCACCGUAAGGUGUGAGGAAGGUGGGGAUGACGUCAAAUCAGCACGGCCCUUACGUCCGGGGCUACACACGUGUUACAAUGGCCGGUACAGAGAGACGGUUGCUUGCAAAAGUAAUCAAAUCCUUAAAACCGGUCCCAGUUCGGACUGGGGUCUGCAACUCGACCCCACGAAGCUGGAUUCGCUAGUAAUCGCGCAUCAGCCAUGGCGCGGUG